GGCGGACGAGGCCCCGCGGAAGGGCAGCUUCUCGGCGCUCGUGGGCCGCACCAACGGCCUCACCAAGCCCGCGGCCCUGGCCGCCGCGCCCGCCAAGCCGGGGGGCGCGGGCGGCUCCAAGAAGCUGGUCAUCAAGAACUUCCGAGGCUGUGGAAAAUCUCUGUUCUCACAAAGUCUCCCCAAUGCUCUACAAGCAACUGCGUCAGGCCUGUGAAGACCACGUCCAGGCACAGAUCCUUCCGUUUAGAGAAGACUCACUAGAUAGUGUUUUAUUUUUAAAGAAGAUUAACAC
This 292-nucleotide small RNA is filed under the name Pan troglodytes (chimpanzee). RNAcentral's name for it is "processed transcript". The record is from RNAcentral. Lineage: Eukaryota; Metazoa; Chordata; Mammalia; Primates; Hominidae.